GUGCUCGCUUCGGCAGCACAUAUACUAAAAUUGGAACGAUACAGAGAAGAUUAGCAUGGCCCCCUGCGCAAAUAAUAUUACAAAGGAUAUACUUGGGUAUUUA
This is a small nuclear RNA of Myotis daubentonii (Daubenton's bat), 103 nucleotides long. Lineage: Eukaryota; Metazoa; Chordata; Mammalia; Chiroptera; Vespertilionidae. The record is from RefSeq and is a predicted model, not a curated record.